This 462-nucleotide ribosomal RNA is filed under the name uncultured bacterium. RNAcentral's name for it is "partial 16S ribosomal RNA". It matches the Rfam family "Bacterial small subunit ribosomal RNA", at positions 28 to 507 of the family's 1533-position model. The record is from RNAcentral.
GACGAACGCUGGCGGCGUGCUUAACACAUGCAAGUCGAGCGGUAAGGCCUUUCGGGGUACACGAGCGGCGAACGGGUGAGUAACACGUGGGUGAUCUGCCCUGCACUUCGGGAUAAGCCUGGGAAACUGGGUCUAAUACCGGAUAUGACCUCCUAUCGCAUGGUGGGUGGUGGAAAAAUUUAUCGGUGCAGGAUGGGCCCGCGGCCUAUCAGCUUGUUGGUGGGGUAAUGGCCUACCAAGGCGACGACGGGUAGCCGACCUGAGAGGGUGACCGGCCACACUGGGACUGAGACACGGCCCAGACUCCUACGGGAGGCAGCAGUGGGGAAUAUUGCACAAUGGGCGAAAGCCUGAUGCAGCGACGCCGCGUGAGGGAUGACGGCCUUCGGGUUGUAAACCUCUUUCAGCAGGGACGAAGCGCAAGUGACGGUACCUGCAGAAGAAGCACCGGCUAACUACGUG